RNAcentral lists this ribosomal RNA (497 nucleotides) under uncultured bacterium. RNAcentral describes it as "partial 16S ribosomal RNA". It matches the Rfam family "Bacterial small subunit ribosomal RNA", at positions 28 to 507 of the family's 1533-position model. The record is from RNAcentral.
GAUGAACGCUGGCGGCGUGCCUAAUACAUGCAAGUCGAGCGAACAGACGAGGAGCUUGCUCCUCUGACGUUAGCGGCGGACGGGUGAGUAACACGUGGAUAACCUACCUAUAAGACUGGGAUAACUUCGGGAAACCGGAGCUAAUACCGGAUAAUAUAUUGAACCGCAUGGUUCAAUAGUGAAAGACGGUUUUGUUGUCACUUAUAGAUGGAUCCGCGCCGCAUUAGCUAGUUGGUAAGGUAACGGCUUACCAAGGCAACGAUGCGUAGCCGACCUGAGAGGGUGAUCGGCCACACUGGAACUGAGACACGGUCCAGACUCCUACGGGAGGCAGCAGUAGGGAAUCUUCCGCAAUGGGCGAAAGCUUGACGGAGCAACGCCGCGUGAGUGAUGAAGGUCUUCGGAUCGUAAAACUCUGUUAUUAGGGAAGAACAAAUGUGUAAGUAACUAUGCACGUCUUGACGGUACCUAAUCAGAAAGCCACGGCUAACUACGUG